GGUCCAAAUUUGAAGUAGAGUAGAUUGAUAGUAUCAGCUGAUCCUACUAAUCUACUGUACUUCAAAUUUGGGCCC
This is a non-coding RNA of Haemonchus placei, 75 nucleotides long. NCBI's taxonomy places the organism in Eukaryota, Metazoa, Nematoda, Chromadorea, Rhabditida, Trichostrongylidae. The record is from Rfam.